CCUACGGGAGGCAGCAGUAGGGAAUCUUGCUCACUGGGGGAAACCCUGAAGCAGCAACGCCACGUGGAGGAUGAAGGUUUUCGGAUUGUAAACUCCUUUUGUUAGAGAAGAUAAUGACGGUAUCUAACGAAUAAGCACCGGCUAACUCCGUGCCAGCAGCCGCGGUAAUGCGGAGGGUGCAAGCUGUACUCGGAAUCACUGGCGGAAAGAGCGCGUAGGCGGGAUAGCAAGUCAGAUGUGAAAUCCUAUGGCGUAACCAUAGAACUGCAUUUGAAACUGGUAUUCUAGAGUAUGGGAGCGGUAGGUGGAAUUCUUGGUGUAGGGGUAAAAUCCGUAGAGAUCAAGAGGAAUACUCAUUGCGAAGGCGACCUGCUAGAACAUAACUGACGCUGAUGCGCGAAAGCGUGGGGAGCAAACAGGAUUAGAUACCCCAGUAGUC
This 439-nucleotide ribosomal RNA is filed under the name uncultured bacterium. RNAcentral's name for it is "partial 16S ribosomal RNA". It matches the Rfam family "Bacterial small subunit ribosomal RNA", at positions 338 to 795 of the family's 1533-position model. The record is from RNAcentral.